Long non-coding RNA from Macrobrachium nipponense, 530 nucleotides. RefSeq lists it as uncharacterized. The record is from RefSeq and is a predicted model, not a curated record. Lineage: Eukaryota; Metazoa; Arthropoda; Malacostraca; Decapoda; Palaemonidae. The transcript has 2 exons.
GGCAGAGCUAAAGGUGAGCGUAUACCUUUCAUUCUACGUUGAACAGGAUGUGGAGCACGAUUUAAUAACAAUACCAUAAGGAACGUUGGCUAUUUAUUAUUACAGGAGUUUGCCAGUACAUCCGAUUAUAUUAUAUACAUUUAUUGGUGGUUUGAAAGCUCUCAACAGUCAUGGAGGAAGAGAAAGCAAGAUGGCUCCAGUACACGCUGAUUUUGGCAGCUCUUUUUCCCACCUGCUACGCUAACACACACGCGCAAGAUGAUGGGUCACAACACUACGCGUUACUGGCAGCUCCAGUUCUUCUCUUCCUCCUUAUCGUUUAUCUGGAGAUGCGGAGACCACGAGCAGAAACACAGGUGGAAAUAGAACCUGUGCUGUGGCAUUAGCAAAUCGUGCGGAGAGAGCUACUUAGAGCGACAGUUUUCUUGUUCAUUUACGCAUUAAUUCGCUGACUACCAGCAAAGUAUUCCGUAUUAAGCCGUAUCAAAUGUUAGAUCUGUCACACAUAAUAUUAAAGGUCUUUACUUUUA